This is an RNA transcript of Papaver somniferum (opium poppy), 1833 nucleotides long. It is a transcript of the gene named luc7-like protein 3, with no coding region annotated. The transcript is spliced from 7 exons. The record is from RefSeq and is a predicted model, not a curated record. Lineage: Eukaryota; Viridiplantae; Streptophyta; Magnoliopsida; Ranunculales; Papaveraceae.
ACUUAAAAGGUCGAGUUUUUAGUUCUCUUCGUCAAAUAGAAGAAAGAAAACCCUAACCCCCCAAAAUUCCAUCAAAAUCUCGAAAUUAGGGUUUUGGUUCAUCCAAAAUCCAUUGCUUAACACUUUCUUUGUUGAAUCAUGGAUGCUCAGAGGGCUUUGCUCGAUGAGUUGAUGGGAGCAGCUCGUAAUCUUACUGAAGAGGAGAAGAAGGGAUACAAGGAAAUCUCUUGGGAUGAUAAGGAGGUUUGCGGAUCUUAUAUGAUUCGAUUUUGUCCACAUGAUCUUUUUGUCAAUACUCGUAGUGAUCUUGGACCAUGCCCUAGAAUUCAUGAUCCAAAACUCAAAGAAAGCUUUGAGAAGUCUCCCAGGCAUGACUCUUUUGUGCCAAGAUUUGAAGCUGAACUUGGCCAGUUUUGUGAGAAAUUGGUAAUGGACUUGGACAGAAAAGUUAGACGCGGCAGGGAGCGCCUAGCCCAGGAAGUUGAAGUUCCACCAGCUGCUCCAGUCUCUAUGGAGAAAUCUGAGCAGCUAUCAUUGCUGGAGGAGAAGAUAAAGAAGCUUCUUGAGCAAGUGGAGACCCUUGGUGAAGCUGGCAAGGUGGAUGAAGCUGAGGCACUCAUGAGGAAGGUGGAUUUGCUAAAUGUCGAGAAGACAUCCUUGACGCAACUGCCACAGAAUGAUAAGCUCUUGAUUACGCAGGAGAAGAAGAUGGCAUUGUGUGAGAUAUGUGGUUCUUUUCUUGUAGCAAAUGAUGCGGCAGAAAGGACACAGUCACAUGUGACCGGCAAGCAGCACAUUGGUUAUGGCAUGGUCCGAGAUUUCAUUAGCGAGUACAAGGAGGCCAAGGAGAAAGCAAGGGAAGAAGAAAGACUAGCUAGGGAGAAAGAAGCUGAUGAAAGGCGAAAGCAGAGGGAGAAGGAAAUUGAGAAUGGAAGUAAACGAAGCAACUCCCGUGAGAGUGAUAGGUAUCAUGACCGUGAACGAGAUCGAGGGCGAGAUAGACACCGUGAACGAGACUGUGACAGGGAAAGGUCAACAGAAUGGAGUGGCAGAGGUAGUAGGGAUGGAGGAAGAGGGAGAGACUGGAAUUAUAACAACCGGAGAAAUGGAAGAGAUGCAGACAGGGGUCGGUACAAUGACAGAAAUGGAAAAAGGGAUAUCUCUCGUGAGAGGGGUUGGGACAGAAGCAGGUCCCGCUCUCCUGUUAGGCAUGGUCACUAGAGGUCAUCAAGGAGCUUAGUCGGGCCUAUAUUGAGGUCGGACUUUGUAAUUAGAUGACCAAGUUUGAACCUAAAAGAGGUAUGAGUUGAGCUAAAUAGUUUUGCAUGGGUUCUUUAUGGGCAUACUUGUUGUGGAGCACUUAUCUUGCCCAGUGUUGGUAACAAAUGUCCCGAGUAACUAGACAGCAGGUGGUAGACUAUGGUGCGUCAAUAAGGCUGCUGCAGAGGGAGAUGUUGGUUAUUUCAAACUUUAGCAAGGUAACCCAUAAAUCUUGGCUUGUACACUGUUCGGAUUCACAUAGUGGGAAUUUUGCACUUAUCUAGCUGCAGUUUGAUGUACUUCCAAAUUUACUCCUGCUUGGUGGCAGUUGUCAAUUUGCUACUCCAAACGAAACACUUGGAAAUGCGUAUCCCCACCCUACCCACACCCACACCUGACUGCGAGAUGGUAGAUAGACAUUGCUGCUGAUUACUGUGUUUUAUUUUAUUUUUUGAAGCGCGCUGAAUACUUAUUAUAUAAGCAAUGUCAUGCAGAACUUGUGGAGCUAUGAGUUAGACCUCUGUUUUCAAUGGUGUUUGUUUUGCAGUUUAACAUGUCAGUUGUCUUCUUCGA